UACGUAGGGACCAAGCGUUGUUCGGAUUUACUGGGCGUAAGGGGCGCGUAGGCGGCGCGGUAAGUCACUUGUGAAAUCUCUGAGCUUAACUCAGAACGGCCAAGUGAUACUGCAGUGCUAGAGUGUGGAAGGGGCAAUCGGAAUUCUUGGUGUAGCGGUGAAAUGCGUAGAUAUCAAGAGGAACACCUGAGGUGAAGACGGGGUUGCUGGGCCAACACUGACGCUGAUGCGCGAAAGCCAGGGGAGCAAACGGG
Molecule: ribosomal RNA, 254 nt
Filed under: uncultured bacterium
Lineage: Bacteria
Description: partial 16S ribosomal RNA
Rfam family: Bacterial small subunit ribosomal RNA
Source: RNAcentral